RNAcentral lists this ribosomal RNA (253 nucleotides) under uncultured bacterium. RNAcentral describes it as "partial 16S ribosomal RNA". It matches the Rfam family "Bacterial small subunit ribosomal RNA", at positions 524 to 776 of the family's 1533-position model. The record is from RNAcentral.
UACGUAGGGUGCAAGCGUUGUCCGGAAUUAUUGGGCGUAAAGAGCUCGUAGGCGGUUUGUCGCGUCGGCUGUGAAAACCUGGGGCUCAACCCCGGGCCUGCAGCCGAUACGGGCAAACUAGAAUUCGGUAGGGGAGACUGGAAUUCCUGGUGUAGCGGCGAAAUGCGCAGAUAUCAGGAGGAACACCGGUGGCGAAGGCGGGUCUCUGGGCCGAUAUUGACGCUGAGGAGCGAAAGCGUGGGGAGCGAACAGG